AUCCUUGGAACUCCAAGUGGGACUUCUUAAAAGAUUUAUAAGGAACAAAGAUGUCAGGAAAGCAGAAAUACACACGGACUCCAUGACUAGAAAAACCUCGUGGUGGCCUGCUCUCCGGUGCUUGGAAGUGUGCUAGUUACAUCUUGGAGGCCUGAUUUUCUUAACUCCACCCUGCUGAGAAGAUGCCCUCCAGGAGGCUGUGCUUGCAGACUCCACGGAGCCUCUCUCAAGAUUUCCUGAACCUUGUGGAUUUACAGUAAGACGAAGUUCCCUGGGGAGUAAUUCUGGUGGAUGCAAAUUCUGGAGUAAUACACCUGGCCUGCCUAGAGAUGUUACAAGUGGCCUAAUGGAUUUUUCUAGCCUGGACGCCCACUGGGGACAAGGAUCAUUACUGACAGGAUUGUAUCUCUACCCUUGACUCCAUGGGAAUAUUUGGUCUGCUCUCUCGGGCUCCCUCUAAAAUGGUUGACAGAGCUGAGGCUCACAACAGGCUGAACAUGUGCCUGAUGCUUUGCACAGGGUCAGGACCAGCUUCUGGGGAGGGUGAGCAUUGGUUGGCCCUGAGAAGAUUCUAAGGAGCCAGCCCUAGCUGUCCUGAAAUGAGCUCCCAAGACUAGGCUGGUUUGGAACUCACAGAACUCCAGGCUGCCUCUGAGAGCAAAGGCACGCACCAUCACAUGC
Molecule: long non-coding RNA, 681 nt
Filed under: Rattus norvegicus (Norway rat)
Lineage: Eukaryota; Metazoa; Chordata; Mammalia; Rodentia; Muridae
Description: partial Pvt1
Rfam family: Pvt1 oncogene conserved region 3 (bases 186-279)
Source: RNAcentral